AACGAACGCUGGCGGCAUGCCUAACACAUGCAAGUCGAACGAGACCUUCGGGUUUAGUGGCGCUCGGGGGCGUAACGCGUGGGAACCUGCCCUUAGGUUCGGUAUAAUUCCCCGAGAGGGAUGCUAAUACAGGUUAAUCUCUUCGCGCCUAAGAUCUAUUGCCUUUGGAUGGGGGCGGGUUGGAUUAGCUAGUUGGUAGGGUAAAAGCCGGUCAAGGCCAGGUUGCAUAGCUGGUAGGUGAGGAUGAUACGCCAGGAUGGGACUGCGACACGGCCCAGAAUCCUACGGGAGGGAGCAGAAGGGAAUACUGGGCGAGGGGCGAAAGCGUGAUAAAGCAAUGCCGCGUGAGUGAUGAAGGCGUUAGGGUUGUACAGCUGUUUUACACGGGAUGAUAGUGACAGUACCGGGAGAAUAAGCUCCGGCUAACUACGUG
RNAcentral lists this ribosomal RNA (433 nucleotides) under uncultured bacterium. RNAcentral's name for it is "partial 16S ribosomal RNA". It matches the Rfam family "Bacterial small subunit ribosomal RNA", at positions 29 to 507 of the family's 1533-position model. The record is from RNAcentral.